AUGGUUGGUUUGGUACAUCUUAGCAUCUGCAUCAUACAAAGGGGGAACAACAGCCAUGGCUUUUGGUCAGGUUCAGGGGGGUCGGGGGGCACCCCUCCCCUCCCCCCAGGCACUGACACAUUUAAAGGAAGCAGAGCAACAAGGACACAGCACAGAUGUGGGAAAAGGGGGCAAGAGGGACAUGGAGGGGGGGAGACAUGUCCUCAGGCUCAAGAGACAUCCUGUCAUCUGAGCCAGUCUGCGUCCCCCUCAGUCCCCUGUGCAGUUGAGGGAUUGCGGGACCCCAGGAGGAUGGAGCAGUUGGGUGGGGUGGGGGGGGUGGGCAAUCCUGUCAGCUGAGUGUUGGGGGCUCUUGGGGCUGGUGGUCUGCCCCAUCUUACUCUAGCCAAGGGGUGGCUUCUUGGCCCACCAGCUCUUCCACCUGAGAAGAGCCUGAACUGACGUACUUCUGUUCUGUCUCUCGUUCCCCUUCCUUCUCUCUGGAGCCCUCCCCACUCACUGUCUCGCUGGGAUAGUCUUUUGAUCUCCUGCUUGCCUUGGAGGAGACCCCUCUGUAGUUAAGGACACCUUUCAGGAACUUCUGGAGCUAGAGCAGAGGAUGUACCUGCGUGGAAAUUCUGGCCAUCGCCAGUGUCCAGCACAGGAGAUCCCACAUCCUUCCCUACUCUCUGGCAGUCAGCCCCCAGGCACAGAGCAUGACAGUGGCCUUCCGUGGCAAGCAACUUCCCUGAAGUUCUCUCUUCACCCACAUGCAAUGACUGCUCUUUGCUGUUUCUCUAGCUGGGGGCCAUCUCUCUUGUAUACUGUUUCUGUGUGUGUACUCGCUGAAUUCUAGGGUGGCUCCCUCCCUGCCCCCAACUCCUAAGCGUGUCACAUGCACACUGCCCCGUUUGUGUGUGACUCACUCUUCCCCCUCCCAUCGGUGGGCCUGAUAUACCUCCUGCCCCCAGUACUUCAUGUGGACCCCCUUCCCUGCCAGAGCACCUCACACAUAUUUUGUGCCCUCUAAGUGUGUGACAUGUGACAUCCUCUCUAGGUCACAUAUUAGUCUCUCUCCUCAGUGAGGUCUGUGCCAGGAAUGAUGAUCCUCAUGUUCCCGUGGACCCCAAAGCAAUCACCUGGCAGUGGUUGGAGCCAGGUAUGCCCCAGGCAGAAAUUCUCCUCCUGUCCCCACCUCCAGGAAGACCUCCAGUCCUGCUGCACAGAAGCA
RNAcentral lists this long non-coding RNA (1210 nucleotides) under Sus scrofa (pig). RNAcentral describes it as "lncRNA (ENSSSCG00070001959.1)". Lineage: Eukaryota; Metazoa; Chordata; Mammalia; Artiodactyla; Suidae. The record is from RNAcentral.